RNAcentral lists this small nuclear RNA (326 nucleotides) under Vulpes vulpes (red fox). RNAcentral's name for it is "7SK RNA (ENSVVUG00000013289.1)". It matches the Rfam family "7SK RNA". From Rfam's summary of the family: 7SK was discovered as an abundant small nuclear RNA in the mid-70s but a possible function has only recently been suggested. Lineage: Eukaryota; Metazoa; Chordata; Mammalia; Carnivora; Canidae. The record is from Rfam by way of RNAcentral.
GGAUGUGAGGGCGAUCUGGCUGCGACAUCUGUCACCCCAUUGAUCGCCAGGGUUGAUUCGGCUGAUCUGGCUGGCUAGGCGGGUGUCCCCUUCCUCCCUCACCGCUCCAUGUGCGUCCCUCCCGAAGCUGCGCGCUCGGUCGAAGAGGACGACCAUCCCCGAUAGAGGAGGACCGUUCUUCGGUCAAGGGUAUACGAGUAGCUGCGCUCCCCUGCUAGAACCUCCAAAGAUUCCAUGCUGAGUGUGAGCGCAGAGCCUGAUGCAGGGCUGGAUCCCAUGAUGCUGAGAUCAUGACCUGAGCCAAAAUCAAGAAUCAGACACUUGAU